This 274-nucleotide ribosomal RNA is filed under the name uncultured bacterium. Its description in RNAcentral is "partial 16S ribosomal RNA". It matches the Rfam family "Bacterial small subunit ribosomal RNA", at positions 29 to 329 of the family's 1533-position model. The record is from RNAcentral.
AGCGAACGCUGGCGGCAGGCCUAAUACAUGCAAGUCGAACGGUCUCUUCGGAGGCAGUGGCGGACGGGUGAGUAACGCGUGGGAAUAUGCCCUUUGGUACGGAACAACUGAGGGAAACUUCAGCUAAUACCGUAUGUGCCCCUUCGGGGGAAAGAUUUAUCGCCAUUGGAGUAGCCCGCGUUGGAUUAGGUAGUUGGUGGGGUAAAGGCCUACCAAGCCUACGAUCCAUAGCUGGUCUGAGAGGAUGAUCAGCCACACUGGGACUGAGAUACGG